GAGGAAGCCCGGUGCGAAUCCGGCGCGGUCCCGCCACUGUGAACCCCGCGGAGCGACACCCGCGACCGGGGUGAGUCAGGAACUC
RNAcentral lists this non-coding RNA (85 nucleotides) under Streptomyces subrutilus. The record is from RNAcentral. Lineage: Bacteria; Bacillati; Actinomycetota; Actinomycetes; Kitasatosporales; Streptomycetaceae.